GCAAGUCGAACGGUAACGCAAGGAGCUUGCUCCUUGGCGACGAGUGGCGGACGGGUGAGUAAUGCUUAGGAAUCUGCCCAGUAGUGGGGGACAACUCGGGGAAACUCGAGCUAAUACCACAUACUCCCUAUGGGGCAAAGUUGUGGAUCUUCGGACUUCACGCUAUUGGAUGAGCCUAAGUCGUAUUAGCUUGUUGGUGAGGUAAAGGCUCACCAAGGCUACGAUCCGUAGCUGGUCUGAGAGGACGAUC
This 250-nucleotide ribosomal RNA is filed under the name uncultured bacterium. RNAcentral's name for it is "partial 16S ribosomal RNA". It matches the Rfam family "Bacterial small subunit ribosomal RNA", at positions 57 to 305 of the family's 1533-position model. The record is from RNAcentral.